UGCUCCACUUUGGGACAUAAGUCAGAAAGAGAUUGACAAUGCCAACUCACACAUAUCCUUAAUUACCAACUAACACACCUAAAACAUUUAUCUUUGGUUCUUCUCUUUACCUUUGAUUCUUUCCCUUUUUGCCUAUUCUUUUGUGGAGAUUAGGAACCUUGAUUGGUUGGCAAUAUAGGGAUCAAAACUUUAUCCUACUCUUUAGGGGUUUUAUUCUAAUUUAUUUUAAAUUCAAAGAAAAACACAUGAGGUAGUCAAAUCAUGAAAUGUAAGCAUAUGCUUUUAGUCCACAUAAGAAACUGCCACACAAUGAGGAGAUAUGUAGUUAGUGAACAUUUUUAUACCUUUUGAUAAGUGUAUUGUUGAAGGGGUCGGAUUGUCUAUACGAAAAUGUGCACGUGUGAUCUUGUAAGGCGUAUGUGUAGGUUUUAGGCAGUGGCGGAUCCAGCGGGGGUUCAGGGGAGUUCAACUGAACCCCGUUAGAUCCGGGAAAAAAAAUAGGAAUGUUAUUUAAAAAACAGAAAACCUAUAAAUAAAAUAUUUGUAGCAAACAUAUACUAUGUUAGGUGUGAGCUCAGUUGGUUAAGUAUCUCUCAAAUUGGUCAGCAAAUCUCGGGUUCGACUCUCCUAGGGCGCAAUUGUAUAUAUUUUUUUUUCUUUUUCUUUUUUCUCAUUUCUUUUCCCUGUAACUUCCGAGCUAAAACCCUAACUUUCUUUCUCUAUCUUUUGAUUCUUUUCUCACUUUUCUGGCCGCCACACCCAGUCACACCACUGCAGUCUACUCACGGACGAGGCCACGAGGGCGACGCCGACGAUCUGCUGCUAGCCUGCGUCGAACUCCAGUGUACUAGUGUGUGACCAUGAAAAGUUUGGAGCAUUUUUGGGACAAAUCUCAAAAUCAUCAAACUUUUCCUCUCCAAACUUGCUCUAAACCUAUUAGUGAAGACAUAGAGGAUGAAGAUUACAUCGAGUCAUUUUUUACAUCUAUUUUAUGAGUUGUAUUUUGAUAUUUAAUUGAAGUUAUGUAUUGUUGUAUCGGAUUAUUAAAUUUUACAAUUUUAUUCAAAUUUGGACUUAUUUUGUUGUUUACUUGUGUAUUGGUAUUUAUCAAAACACUCUAUUUUAUACUUGAA
This is a long non-coding RNA of Chenopodium quinoa (quinoa), 1133 nucleotides long. RefSeq lists it as uncharacterized. The transcript is spliced from 2 exons. The record is from RefSeq and is a predicted model, not a curated record. Lineage: Eukaryota; Viridiplantae; Streptophyta; Magnoliopsida; Caryophyllales; Amaranthaceae.